AGCAGCCGCGGUAAUUCCAGCUCCAAUAGCGUAUAUUAAAGUUGUUGCAGUUAAAAAGCUCGUAGUUGAAUUUUGGAUUCUUCCAAUUGGUCCAUCUUUUAGAUGAGUACUGGUUGUGUGGGGUCUAUCCGCCUGGUGAUACGUAAUGUCCUUUAUUGGAUGUUGCGGGUAGUCAGGACCUUUACCUUGAAAAAAUUAGAGUGUUUAAAGCAGGCUUAUGCCGGAAUACAUUAGCAUGGAAUAAUAGAAUAGGACGAAGUUGUUUUAUUUUGUUGGUUUCUAGGACAACCGUAAUGAUUAAUAGGGAUAGUUGGGGGCAUUAGUAUUCAAUUGUCAGAGGUGAAAUUCUUGGAUUUAUUGAAGACUAACUACUGCGAAAGCAUUUGCCAAGGAUGUUUUCAUUAAUCAAGAACGAAAGUUAGGGGAUCGAAGACGAUCAGAUACCGUCGUAGUCUUAACCAUAAACUAUGCCGACUAGGGAUCGGGCGAUGUUAUUCCUAUGACUCGCUCGGCACCUAUG
Molecule: ribosomal RNA, 520 nt
Filed under: uncultured Archaeospora
Lineage: Eukaryota; Fungi; Glomeromycota; Glomeromycetes; Archaeosporales; Archaeosporaceae
Description: SSU rRNA
Rfam family: Eukaryotic small subunit ribosomal RNA
Source: RNAcentral